ACAUUUUUGUAUUUUCCAACUUGCUUUGAACAUACUUGUGUACCAGUGUUAAUUUCGUUAAUGAAAACGAUGACGAAAAAUAUUCGUUAACAAACAUUUUUUUCUGUGACUAAGAUGAGACGUUGACGAGCUAAAAAUAAUAUCUGAUGAUGAAAUUAUGACGAAAUUUAUGCCGCGUCAUCGUUAACUAGAUGAGACUGGACAAUAAUGUUAUUUGAGGACUACUGGACAUUCAAAAUACAUCCUAUAGGGUAUUGUCCUUCAAAAUGUGCGUCCCUGUCAUUGGAUUGCCAUCGGAUAAGGGGAGUUAGCAUAUCUAGUCAGUAUAGCAGCGACAGUGGAUGGAUAGGCUAAUAAAACGCGAACUAGCGAUCUGAAACAAUGGCCUCAGCACCCGAAGGGGUAGGGAUAAGGUAACCAGACCUCCUAUGUUUCCCGGAAGUCACAAUUCGUUGUCGAUUAACUUAAAGUUAGUGAAGGCGGACAGGCGCGCAGAUGGCACUAGGGACGGGGGGGACAUGACCCCCCAGAUUCAUAUUAACCUGGCAGGACCCGUGUAAAUAUCGGAGCAGCUUUCCAGCUGUGGAGAGAAACUCAAGGAGUGGGAAGGGCUCGAAUCGGAUGCCGAGGUUGCUUUGUUUCUUUUUGAUAGGUGAGUAACGUUGAUUUCGCUUUGUUUCACACAACUUAUCCAUGUUGGCUUUUGUUUCAAUAUGCUUAUGUGUCAUCUUCACUUGUUUGCGCAAUCGUCGUUGCCAUGGUUGCGUAUGUCCAUGUGGGGCGAAGAUUUCAAAAUAGGGGCUAGGUAGCACGGUGGCCGAGAGAGCUCAACACGCUGCAACUUCACAAAACACAUUCAAAUAGAAAAAUCACCAGCAAAUUAAGAAAACUUCUUCAUCAUUUUGACAGCACACUUGCUGCAAAUACUCGCAACACAACGAAAUACAAAAACAAGCUUCAAAUGCUCAAAACACAAACAAAUACAGAAACAAGCUGCAAAUACUGAACACAAACAAAAUUACCCCAACAAAACGAAAAUUAACCUUUUUUUUGGCGUAUUGAUUACCAUCUGUAUAACCACAGUUGUACAAAUACCAUGGCUAAUAAUAUCCACACAAAAAAGCAACAACAACAACAAAAAAGCUAAGGAAUCAUAUGAUCAGGAUGUUAAAAUAAACAAAGAUCUUUUCAGAGCAAACAUUGAUAAAUUAUGUCCUAGCCAUAUUUGUCACUUUACGGUUCCCUUAAAUAUUUCAGAUGUGGUCUGUGUUUUUGCAGCACGUUUCUUUAUUUAUUUGUAUUGUGAGUAUUUGCAGCGCGUGUUGUCAAACUGAUGAAGAUGUUUUCUUAAUUUGCAGGUGUUUUAUCAUUUGCAGUGCGUUAAGCUCUCUCGGCCACCGUAGCAGGUCCUGUUGGGGUAUGGAUGUGUUUGUUUUGGUGCUAAAGAAUCGGGUCAGGGCAGACGCAGGCUGAAGCACAAUAAUAAUCUUACCAUUACUUUGUACCCACCUUCUCACUACAGGCUGUUCUGUUGUCAAUAAACACACCUGACGAUGGUGCUGCCA
Molecule: long non-coding RNA, 1565 nt
Organism: Cyprinus carpio (common carp)
Lineage: Eukaryota; Metazoa; Chordata; Actinopteri; Cypriniformes; Cyprinidae
Source: Ensembl